GGGUGAUUAGCUCAGUUGGUAGAGCGCUUCGUUUACACCGAAGAUGUCAGCGGUUCGAGCCCGUUAUCACCCA
RNAcentral lists this transfer RNA (73 nucleotides) under Rhodobacter ferrooxidans. Its description in RNAcentral is "Rhodobacter sp. SW2 tRNA". It matches the Rfam family "tRNA". From Rfam's summary of the family: Transfer RNA (tRNA) molecules are approximately 80 nucleotides in length. Their secondary structure includes four short double-helical elements and three loops (D, anti-codon, and T loops). The record is from Rfam by way of RNAcentral. Lineage: Bacteria; Pseudomonadati; Pseudomonadota; Alphaproteobacteria; Rhodobacterales.